This 1858-nucleotide long non-coding RNA is filed under the name Homo sapiens (human). Its description in RNAcentral is "HSALNT0168494". The record is from RNAcentral. Lineage: Eukaryota; Metazoa; Chordata; Mammalia; Primates; Hominidae.
AGGUCCCCUUCCACGCUGUGGAAGCUUUGUUCUUUUGCUCUUCACAAUAAAUCUUGCUGCUGCUCACUCUUUGGGUCUGCACUAUCUUUAUGAGCUGUAACACUCACCGUGAGGGUCUGUGGCUUCAUUCCUGAAGUCAGUGAGACCACAAACCCACUGGGAGGAACAAACAACUCUGGACACGCCAACUUUAAGAGCUGUAACAUUCACUGCGAAGGUCUGCGGCUUCACCUCUGAAGUCAGCGAGACUAUGAACCCACUGGAAGGAAGAAACUCCAGACACAUCUGAACAUCUGAAGGAAGAAACUCCAGACACACCAUCUUUAAGAGCUGUAACACUCACUGCAAGGGUCUGCGGCUUCAUUCUUGAAGUCAGCAAGACCAAGAACCCACUGGAAGGAAACAAUUCCGGACACAUUUUGGUGACCCAGAUGGGACUAUCACCAAGUGGAUCGAGGCCAUCAAGCUACAGAUGAUCUUACAAAUGUAACCCCAAAUGAGCUCAACUAACAACUUCUGCUGAGGACCCCUGGACCGACCCGCUGGCCCUUUCAAUGGCCUAAAGAGCUCCCCUCUGGAGGACACUACCACUGCAGGGCCCCUUCUUCACCCCUAUCCAGCAGGAAGUAGCUACAGCGGUCAUCGCCAAAUCCCAACAGCAGCUGGGGUGUCCUGUUUGGAGGGGGGAUUGAGAGGUGAAGCCAGCUGGGCUUCUGGGUCAGGUGGGGACUUGGAGAACUUUUGUGUCUAGCUAAAGGAUUGUAAAUGCACCAAUCAGCACUCUGUGUCUAGCUAAAGGAUUGUAAAUGCACCAAUCAGCACUCUGUAAAAUGGACCAAUCAGCAGGAUGUGGGCGGGGUCAAAUAAGGGAGUAAAAACUGGCCACCCGAGCCAGCAGUGGCAACCCACUCGGGUCCCCUUCCACACUGUGGAAGCUUUGUUCUUUUGCUCUUCACAAUAAAUCUUGCUGCUGCUCAUUCUUUGUGUCCACACUACCUUUAUGAGCUGUAACACUCACUGCGAGGGUCUGUGGCUUCAUUCCUGAAGUCAACAGACCACGAACCCACUGGAAGGAACAAAGAACUCCCGAUGUGCUGCCUUUAAGAGCUGUAACACUCACUGCGAAGCUCUGCAGCUUCACUCCUGAAGUCAGUGAGACCACAAACCCACCAGAAGGAAGAAACUCUGGACACACCUGAAUAUCUGAAGGAACAAACUCCAGACACACCAUCUUUCAGAGCUGUAACACUCACCGCAAGGGUCUGUGGCUUCAUUCUUGAAGUCAGCAAGACCAAGAACCCACCGGAAGGAACAAAUUCCAGACACAGUAGGAAAUCUGUAUUUUUGAUCUGUGGCUUUCAGGGUUACUCCAGUCAUUGAAGUCUCCAUUGCAGCCUUAAGGAAACAGAGAAUGGUUUGGAGGAGCACAUGUGGGAAUUGUUAUGGACCAGGCUUGAGAUGCACAUAGGGCAUUUCUGAUCAAACCUAGCUGGAAGCAGGGCCAGGAAAUAUAAUCUAAGGAAGACAGUUUUUGUAGACAGUAGUAGUCUUUGCAUCUGAGACAUGUAGAUUAUCAAGCAAUUAAUUAGAAAAAAUAUAGCCAGGUGCGAUGGCUCAUGCCUGUAAUCCCAGCACUUUGGGAGGCCAAGGGGUGUGGAUCACGAGGUCAGGCGUUCGAGACCAGCCUGGCCAACAUGGUGAAACCCCGUCUCUACUAAAAAUACAAAAAUUAGCCUGGUGUGGUGGCACGCAUCUGUAAUCCCAGUACUCAGGAGGCUGAGGCAGGGGAAUCUCUUGAACUUGGGAGGCAGAGGUUGCAGUGAGCCAAGAUCACACCACAGCACUCCAUCCUGGGUGA